UGGUGAGUACGCGGUACGGUACUCCCUUAAGUCUGGGAUACCAUUUGGAAACAGAUGCUAAUACCGGAUAAAAGCUACUUUCGCAUGAAAGAAGUUUAAAAGGCGGCGUAAGCUGUCGCUAAAGGAUGGACCUGCGAUGCAUUAGCUAGUUGGUAAGGUAACGGCUUACCAAGGCGAUGAUGCAUAGCCGAGUUGAGAGACUGAUCGGCCACAUUGGGACUGAGACACGGCCCAAACUCCUACGGGAGGCAGCAGCC
RNAcentral lists this ribosomal RNA (257 nucleotides) under uncultured Lactobacillus sp. RNAcentral's name for it is "partial 16S ribosomal RNA". It matches the Rfam family "Bacterial small subunit ribosomal RNA", at positions 104 to 355 of the family's 1533-position model. Lineage: Bacteria; Bacillati; Bacillota; Bacilli; Lactobacillales; Lactobacillaceae. The record is from RNAcentral.